CAUUGAUCUGACGGUGGAAUGUA
RNAcentral lists this non-coding RNA (23 nucleotides) under Arabidopsis thaliana (thale cress). The record is from RNAcentral. Lineage: Eukaryota; Viridiplantae; Streptophyta; Magnoliopsida; Brassicales; Brassicaceae.